RNAcentral lists this long non-coding RNA (780 nucleotides) under Malus domestica (apple). Its description in RNAcentral is "long non-coding RNA (MDOM_LNC010664)". Lineage: Eukaryota; Viridiplantae; Streptophyta; Magnoliopsida; Rosales; Rosaceae. The record is from RNAcentral.
AUGUGAUUUCAUAAGUUAUAACCACAACCAAGCAUAAAUAAAAAGUAAAUCAAACUUUCAUCCAUGUUUAUAACUCUCUUUAACAGUCAUGCAAUUACAAACCGAAUCCUCAUCAUUGUGUUGGAAGGUACCCUAAGACACAAAUAAGCACACAAAAACAACUCUUUUUGGGAUUUUCAAAACAAUUUUUCAAAUUUUUAUGAAUUCUCGGAUUUUUAUGUCAAAACACACUGAAACACUCCAAAACAGCUUAAAAAUACUUAAAACAGCAAGGAACAACACUAGAAAUAAUGGGUGAUAAUUUUCUACGAAUUUUAUGCAAAACACUAGUUACCCCCCCCACACUUAAAUCAAACAUUGUCCUCAAUGUUUCAAGCAUAUACUCACACAAAAACAAGCAACGAAUAACAGAACAAAUAUAGCAAAGUAAACAAAAAAAAUUAGACAGAGUAGAGGUUAAGAACGCAAAUCUGGUUUUUGAGAUAGAUGAUCUUGGUGACUUUCCACAGCUUUGAUCUUGAACUGGUUUGGAAUUCUGAGCGGGGAAUAUCAGAGUGCAGUCUGCAUUCUUCUCUGCUUGUUUCUUCUGCACGGCGGGCAGGCACGAGGUAAAGGUGUUGGUCUGUUUCUUUCUUCAAUCUUUCCAAGUGCCCACCUCUUGCUAUCUUUCUCCUUGUCCUUAGUUGAGGAUGAAUCAGCACGUUGUCUCCAUAUGCUUCGAGGUAUCAUCUUCACUUCCCUUAUAAGUGAGAGACAAAGCGAAAGCAUAAGAUGAUGAGU